Molecule: long non-coding RNA, 1229 nt
Organism: Oncorhynchus tshawytscha (Chinook salmon)
Lineage: Eukaryota; Metazoa; Chordata; Actinopteri; Salmoniformes; Salmonidae
Source: Ensembl
CUCAUCAACACACCACCUGCUUCACUCUCUCAGUACUCUCAUCAACACACCACCUGCUUCACUCUCUCAGUACUCUCAUCAACACACCACCUGCUUCACUCUCUCAGUACUCUCAUCAACACACCACCCGCUUCACUCUCUCAGUACUCUCAUCAACACACCACCCGCUUCACUCUCUCAGUACUCUCAUCAACACACCACCCGCUUCACUCUCUCAGUACUCUCAUCAACACACCACCUGCUUCACUCUCUCAGUACUCUCAUCAACACACCACCUGCUCUCUCUCUCUCUCUCAGUACUCUCAUCAACUAUAGAUUUUUGGGCUCAUGCAUUAUUUCCAAGCUGCUGAAAUAAAUAUACUAAAAUAUAUAUUUUUCAUAUCUUAAAAAAAAGACAAACUGUUUUAGUGUGGGGGAAAAUAACCAGGUUCUAUUUUGUAUUAGUGUAUUUAAUAUCAGACAUUACUGUAGUGUGAUUGUGUACAGGUAUCCACCCUCCCUUAUCUGAUUUGACAUUUUCUUGUGAGUGAAAUAUUGAGGACUCUUGCUGCUGAUUGGGUCUGAGAAGGAAAGAGGGCUGGCCCAGGGCUGUUGCUAUGGGAAUUGUCCCAGCAACCACUAGCCGUAGUGGAAACUGAACAAAAUGGAGGGUGGUUGGGAAGGAGCGGACGUUGCUGCGUUCUGGUUUCAACUUUAAAACAUGAGCGCAGGUGCUUCAUGACAAACCUUACUAGCAUGUUUGGCUGUAUCAUGUUUCUUUGGUACUGUAUUUUGAAUGACCGUUUUAAUUUAUUUAAAAAAAACAUUCUCAAACUACUCGUUGUUUUCACAUUUAUGGAAUUAAUGUGUUUUUGUUGAUUUUCAGUAAACUUGAUUUGUCACAAUGUAUUUGUUUCAUACUAGUCAACUCACAGUACAGACUUGUCACUAUCUUACCAGCAUUAGUUACUGAGCGUGUUGUUGAGUCGACGUUAAGUGUGUGGGUAAAACAGAGUUUGGUUUUAUGUUAAUAUAAAAUGUUUAGUUUGAUCGAGAUGGUGUCGGACAACCUAUAGACCGGUUAUGCCUGCUGUCUGAACUUGUUUUUUCCCUUCCCAUAAUUGUGUUGACUGACACACCACACACUGCCAUUCACCAAGGCAGGUCUUGCAGGUUUUUGCUCAAACCCUAAUCUAGAGCACCUGAUUCUAAUUAGAUGUUGACCGAUUAACCGGAAUGGCCGAUUAAUU